Molecule: ribosomal RNA, 254 nt
Filed under: uncultured bacterium
Lineage: Bacteria
Description: partial 16S ribosomal RNA
Rfam family: Bacterial small subunit ribosomal RNA
Source: RNAcentral
UACGUAGGGGGGCAAGCGUUGUCCGGAAUCAUUGGGCGUAAAGCGCGUGUAGGCGGUUCGGUAAGUCUGCUGUGAAAGUCCAGGGCUCAACCCUGGGAUGCCGGUGGAUACUGUCGGACUAGAGUACGGAAGAGGCGAGUGGAAUUCCCGGUGUAGCGGUGAAAUGCGCAGAUAUCGGGAGGAACACCAAUUGCGAAGGCAGCUCGCUGGGACGUUACUGACGCUGAGACGCGAAAGCGUGGGGAGCAAACAGG